GACGAACCGUGCGAACGUUAUUCGGAAUCACUGGGCUUAAAGCGCGUGUAGGCGGGACGGCACGUCUGUCGCUGAAAUCCCCCGGCUUAACCGGGGAACUGGCGGAGAUACGACCGUCCUGGAGGGGCGUAGGGGGAUCUGGAACUUCCGGUGGAGCGGUGAAAUGCGUUGAGAUCGGAAGGAACGCCCGUGGCGAAAGCGAGGUCCUGGACGCCUACUGACGCUGAGACGCGAAAGCCAGGGGAGCGAACGGG
RNAcentral lists this ribosomal RNA (254 nucleotides) under uncultured bacterium. Its description in RNAcentral is "partial 16S ribosomal RNA". It matches the Rfam family "Bacterial small subunit ribosomal RNA", at positions 524 to 776 of the family's 1533-position model. The record is from RNAcentral.